This 442-nucleotide ribosomal RNA is filed under the name uncultured Mesorhizobium sp. Its description in RNAcentral is "bacterial SSU rRNA". It matches the Rfam family "Bacterial small subunit ribosomal RNA", at positions 336 to 795 of the family's 1533-position model. Lineage: Bacteria; Pseudomonadati; Pseudomonadota; Alphaproteobacteria; Hyphomicrobiales; Phyllobacteriaceae. The record is from RNAcentral.
UUCCUACGGGGGGCUGCAGUGGGGAAUAUUGGACAAUGGGCGAAAGCCUGAUCCAGCCAUGCCGCGUGAGUGAUGACGGCCCUAGGGUUGUAAAGCUCUUUCGCAGGUGAAGAUAAUGACGGUAACCUGAGAAGAAGCCCCGGCUAACUUCGUGCCAGCAGCCGCGGUAAUACGAAGGGGGCUAGCGUUGUUCGGAAUUACUGGGCGUAAAGCGCACGUAGGCGGAUACUUAAGUUAGGGGUGAAAUCCCAGGGCUCAACCCUGGAACUGCCUUUAAUACUGGGUAUCUCGAGUCCGAGAGAGGUGAGUGGAAUUCCGAGUGUAGAGGUGAAAUUCGUAGAUAUUCGGAGGAACACCAGUGGCGAAGGCGGCUCACUGGCUCGGUACUGACGCUGAGGUGCGAAAGCGUGGGGAGCAAACAGGAUUAGAUACCCCGGUAGUC